Molecule: ribosomal RNA, 292 nt
Filed under: uncultured bacterium
Lineage: Bacteria
Description: partial 16S ribosomal RNA
Source: RNAcentral
GGACUACAGGGGUAUCUAAUCCUGUUUGCUCCCCACGCUUUCGCACCUCAGCGUCAGUAUUGGCCCAGGUCGCCGCCUUCGCCACUGGUGUUCCUCCCGAUAUCUACGAAUUUCACCUCUACACCGGGAAUUCCGCGACCCUCUUCCAUACUCAAGCGCGCCAGUUUCGUAUGCACUUCCUGGGUUGAGCCCAGGGCUUUCACAUCCGACUUAACGCGCCGCCUACGUGCGCUUUACGCCCAAUGAUUCCGAGCAACGUUUGCACCCUCUGUAUUACCGCGGCUGCUGGCAC